Long non-coding RNA from Bos taurus (domestic cattle), 1117 nucleotides. NCBI's taxonomy places the organism in Eukaryota, Metazoa, Chordata, Mammalia, Artiodactyla, Bovidae. The record is from Ensembl.
AAAUAACUACAUUCUAAUGAAAAUCAGGUUUGAUUUGUUUGUUUUGAAGUAAUAUUGGGAAAGUUACAUUGGGUUUUUUGUUUUUUUUUUCCAUCUGUAGCACUGGUUACUUUGAACAAAUAAAAAGCUUUCUGUAGUUGCCUUCUUCAGUAGGAAAUAAUUUGAUACCAUGGUAUAUUAUUUCCUCAGCAUUAGAGAACAGUUUUUCUAAAUGUUGGAGGAAAUCUCCAUAGUCAUUACUCAAUCAGAAUUUAGAAUUUGCAUUUAACUCAUAUAUGCCUGAGGACCAUUCUAAGUUUUUUAUAUGUAUACAUAAAAGACAUAUGUAAAUGCUUUGGAAGUUAACUUUAUUUGUUGUAGUUUUUGUUUUGGUAAAUAUAUUUAAAUCACAGCCUUUCAUAACCAUGGAUAAGCCCAUGUUCUGGAAUUACAUCAUUUUGAGCAAUAUAAGAAAUAACUUCAACUUAGACUAAAAAUUUAAGUCUUAACCUUUCAAAUUAAAUAAUUUUGUAAUUAGACACAUUAAGGAAUUUAAAUUGGGUAAUUUUUUAAAGCAUCCCUAUCAGAAUCUGCAUAUAAAUGCAGUUUUAUAUGUAGAAACCCUGGAAGGAAAAUUUUUAUCACUAUCAACCACCUUCCCAAUCAAAUGAAAAAAGUAGAAAAAUUCUGGUAUGUUUUAAUAUAGCAAAGCAAAACUUAAUUAAAUGGACACUUGAUGAUUCCUUCUGGUGAACCAUUGUUUUACAAGAAAUUGAAGUCUCUGUGCUGUAUUUAGGAAAGGUUGUGAUACAUGGGAUGUCUCAGAUUUGUUCAUGGAAACCUAAUCAGAUAGUUUUUAAAUAUUGGCAGUUUACAAUCUACAGGAAUAAAUGAGUGAACAAACUUUUCUAAUCUACGCUUGACCUACAUGUAUUUUCAGACUUGACUCCAAUCCAUUCCUUACAUGAAGGCUCAAUUUUCUCAGUAUUUUGGGUUACUAGUUCAGCAGAAGCCAAGAAAAACAAUAACUUUGUAGUAAUCAGAAUGUUAUUCAACUGUAUAUUGUUUACUUUAUUGUAAAUACUGGUGAACAGUGGUCAAUAAAUAGUUUUAUAUUCCUUUAAAAAAAUAAAUAAAA